UUGUUGUGCUUUAAAAGCCCCAUUUAUUGGUAAAAAACGGAAGAAACUUUUUUUGGCCUUAUUAUAUACGGUUUUGUGGUUCAUUUGGAAGGCAAGAAACUCAUUGGUGUUCAACAAUAGGAGAUGUUCCCCUUUUAGAACGGCGGAUGAUAUCCAAUUACUUGGGUUCAGGCCCAGGGCAACAAAUUAUUGAGGGCAUCAAAAUUGUCCAACUAGUUAUAUGUAUAGUAUAUAUGACAAUGGCCCGAAAACUUAUCCCAUGGUGAUGAUCUGUUUACUGAUGUCGUGACUCGUGAGAAAAAAAGCUAGGGAGCACACGCCUCGAACCAAACGUCGCACAUGCCUAGAAUCCCGCUGGUGUUGCUGUCGAUUGGAGAAAUCAAUUCCUACCUAGAAUACGUCCCUCAUAAAUAAAAAGUAAGAGCAGAUUUCUCUUUUGUUUCCUUCCGGUAGAUAAUCGAUAUUAUAUGGCUCUCAAAUCUCAAAUUAAUCAUUAUCAAUCGACACUUAGUCCGGAAAAGCAACAAUUUCUCUAAUCUGGUCCGGUUUUCUCUAAUUUGAUACAGCAAAAGGCGAUUCUGAAUUUCUGAUUUAGUAGUUCACUGAUUUGGGUGUGAUUUAUUUCUUGUUGGUUAUUUAAGAAAUCAGAUUUAGGUGAGUUCAAUCGAAACUUGUGUUUAUUUAGGUUCGUUUCAGAAAUCUGUUUGAUUUAUUAUUCAUCUGAUGAUCUGAUUUCUUCUCUAAUUCAUUACAGGAAAAAGUAGUUAAAGUCCCAAAGAGUUCAUUCUAAGUUUUCUAGUUCAGAAAUCAUAUUUCUGUUUCAGUCUUUUAGAAAUCAAAUCAGCUUUCUCCUCUGUUUGUGUUUGUGUCGGAUAUUGUUGUUUCAGAAAUAAGAUUUUAGUUACUUUAAUUUUGAAAUUUGUUUGUGUUCACUGUUCAAUAUUUGUUGUCUAAACAUUCUUCCUAAUUUUUGUGUUAUUGUUUAUGUGAUGUGCAGAUAAAAAUUCUUUCUGAAUCUGAAUCUGAUUGUAGAGAACUUGUUUCACGGGAAUCCCAUUAAUAAAAGAAAGUUGAAGUAGCUGUUUGGCACACCCCAUCACAUGUGGUUACAGGGGCAGUGCUUGGGAUCCUGGUUGCGUGUAUUUGUUGUCAAUGUUUGCUUUGGUGUAAUCUGAAAUCUGAAUUCUAUGCAUUUGUUGUCAAUGUUUGCUUUGGUGUAAUCUGAAAUCUGAAUUCUAUGCAGGAUUGUUUUAUUUUAAAAACAAAUUUGUUUGAUUUUGGUGGAUUGAUUAGUUAUAUAUAAAACAAGUCAUAAGUUGUUAUAUUAUAAUCCUAAAAAAAUUGCAAAGCAGAAGUUUGUUGUUAGUCUCUUAUUCUUCGGUUAAGAUCAUAAAAUAGCAACAUAUUGUUCUUUAGAACACUAACUCAUUUGAUUUUUUUAGAAACCUCAUCCGCUAAUUAUCAAGUUUGAUAUUGAUAAAACAAGACACCAAGUUUUGUUUGAUUUUAAAGUUAUUGCUUUUUUGUUUAUAUACAUUUUUUAUGUAUACGUUUUGUCCAUUGUACAAUACAUGUAUAAGGGCAUAAAAUUUUUAUUUCAUCCCGGGUAUCAAAAAUCAACGGACCGGCCCUGCUAAUGAUGAUGAAUAAAAAUUACAAGACUAAAUAACAAUUAAAAUAUAUCAUCAAAAGUACAUAAAAGUAUUUCAUUCCGAACUCAUCUUCAUGCUUGUGUAGUGACAUAGCUAGGAUUUUAUUUUAGGAUAGACCAAAUAAUUUAUAAAAUAUGAACUAAUAGAAAAAUACUUCAAAUGAUAACAAAAUAUAACUUUGUAUCAUUUUGUAGUAAAUUGUUUUGUCUUUGACCUAGCAGUAGGGAGUGACUUUUUCAAAUGAUAGGUCAUAUUUUCAAAUCUCUUAGGAGACAUAGGUAAUAUGUAGGAGUAGAUUGAUUAGUUUGCAGUUUCAAAAAAAAAAGUUGGAAG
Molecule: long non-coding RNA, 1985 nt
Filed under: Lactuca sativa (garden lettuce)
Lineage: Eukaryota; Viridiplantae; Streptophyta; Magnoliopsida; Asterales; Asteraceae
Description: long non-coding RNA (LSAT_LNC003595)
Source: RNAcentral